AGUCGACGAGGGGGCACCCCUAGUGGCGAACGGCGGAGUAAGACGUGAGCAACGUGCCCCGAAGUCCGGGACAAACGCAGAAAUGCCAUAAAUACCGGAUGUGACCCCAACUCGGCAUCGAGAUGGGAUUAAACGGUUUUUCGCUUCGGGAGCGGCUCACGGCCCAUCAGGUAGUUGGGGGGGUAACGGCCCACCAAGCCGACGACGGGUAGCGGGUCUGAGAGGAUGAUCCGCCCGAGUGGGACUGAGACACGGCCCACACACCUACGGGUGGCAGCAGUUGGGAAUCUUGCACAAUGGGGGAAACCCUGAUGCAGCGACGCCGCGUGGAGGAUGAAGGGUCUAGGCCUGUAAACUCCUUUUACCGGGAAAGACUUAGGACGGUACCCGGGGAAUAAGGACCGGCUAACUACGUGCCAGCAGCCGCGGUAAGACGUAGGGUCCAAGCGUUGUCCGGAUUUACUGGGCGUAAAGAGCGCGUAGGCGGUCCGUUAAGUGUAGAGUGAAAGCUCCGGGCUCAACUCGGAAAUUGCUCUGCAUACUGGCGGACUCGAGGACGGAUGAGGUUUGUGGAAUUCCUG
This 581-nucleotide ribosomal RNA is filed under the name uncultured bacterium. RNAcentral's name for it is "bacterial SSU rRNA". It matches the Rfam family "Bacterial small subunit ribosomal RNA", at positions 60 to 672 of the family's 1533-position model. The record is from RNAcentral.